This 521-nucleotide ribosomal RNA is filed under the name uncultured bacterium. RNAcentral describes it as "bacterial SSU rRNA". It matches the Rfam family "Bacterial small subunit ribosomal RNA", at positions 45 to 562 of the family's 1533-position model. The record is from RNAcentral.
UGCCUUACACAUGCAAGUCGAACGGCAGCACGGGAGCAAUCCUGGUGGCGAGUGGCGAACGGGUGAGUAAAGUAUCGGAACGUACCUUUCAGUGGGGAUAACGUAGCGAAAGUUACGCUAAUACCGCAUAUUCUGUGAGCAGGAAAGCAGGGGAUCGCAAGACCUUGCGCUGAUUGAGCGGCCGAUAUCAGAUUAGCUAGUUGGUGGGGUAAAGGCCUACCAAGGCGACGAUCUGUAGCGGGUCUGAGAGGAUGAUCCGCCACACUGGAACUGAGACACGGUCCAGACUCCUACGGGAGGCAGCAGUGGGGAAUUUUGGACAAUGGGGGCAACCCUGAUCCAGCCAUGCCGCGUGAGUGAAGAAGGCCUUCGGGUUGUAAAGCUCUUUCGGCCGGGACGAAAUCGCACGGGCUAAUAUCCUGUGUGGAUGACGGUACCGGAAUAAGAAGCACCGGCUAACUACGUGCCAGCAGCCGCGGUAAUACGUAGGGUGCGAGCGUUAAUCGGAAUUACUGGGCGUA